RNAcentral lists this transfer RNA (71 nucleotides) under Danionella cerebrum. Its description in RNAcentral is "tRNA-Ser". The record is from RNAcentral. Lineage: Eukaryota; Metazoa; Chordata; Actinopteri; Cypriniformes; Danionidae.
AGUCGCGGCCUAGUGGAUAGGGUGAUUGACUGGAGGUCAAAAGGUCGCUGGUUCAAUCUCCAGCUCCACUA